This is a small nuclear RNA of Rattus norvegicus (Norway rat), 149 nucleotides long. Ensembl annotates it as U2 spliceosomal RNA. The record is from Ensembl. NCBI's taxonomy places the organism in Eukaryota, Metazoa, Chordata, Mammalia, Rodentia, Muridae.
AUCGCUUCUCGGCCUUUUGGCUAAGAUCAAGUGUAGAAUCUGAUGGGAAAUGACAAAGGGAAUUAAAAAAGGAAGUGAGACAGAUGAGGGUAGAGAGUCUAACUAAAGCUAACAUGUGAAUAUAUUUAUAUUUAUUUUAUAUAUCACUU